AAAGAAAAAAGAAGCAAAAAAAGAGACUUCCUCUCUCUUCCCUCUUUUCUCUCUCUAAUUUCUAUCUCCAUCUUCUCUCUCUACUUUUUCUCUCUAAAAUUUCUCUCUCUUGAUUAAUUCUUUCUUCAAGGGUUUUUUGGAUCUUCAAAAAGACUCUUAAUGAUCUUGAUUGAUUCUGAUGAACAAAUCCUUACCCUUGGUCGUCGGGCAUCGUGUCGGCAUCCAUCCUAGCCAGAUUAAGUACUGUUUGUUUUGAUAUUAUCCAUAAUUUAUAUUAAGUCAUCUAUAUACCAAUUUAAUCAUGAUUGGAUUAAAUCAUCUUGAUUUGAUCAAUCGGGAUGCUGGACAGUAUCAUCUAAUCGGUCC
This 366-nucleotide long non-coding RNA is filed under the name Elaeis guineensis (African oil palm). Its description in RNAcentral is "long non-coding RNA (EGUI_LNC065751)". The record is from RNAcentral. Lineage: Eukaryota; Viridiplantae; Streptophyta; Magnoliopsida; Arecales; Arecaceae.